UACGGGGGGGGCAAGCGUUGUUCGGAAUUACUGGGCGUAAAGGGCUCGUAGGCGGCCAACUAAGUCGGAUGUGAAAUCCCCAGGCUUAACCUGGGAACUGCAUCCGAUACUGGAUGGCUUGAAUUCGGGAGAGGGAUGCAGAAUUCCAGGUGUAGCGGUGAAAUGCGUAGAUAUCUGGAGGAAUGCCGGUGGCGAAGGCGGCAUCCUGGACCGAGAUUGACACUGAUGAGCGAAAGCCAGGGGAGCAAACGGG
RNAcentral lists this ribosomal RNA (253 nucleotides) under uncultured bacterium. RNAcentral's name for it is "partial 16S ribosomal RNA". It matches the Rfam family "Bacterial small subunit ribosomal RNA", at positions 524 to 776 of the family's 1533-position model. The record is from RNAcentral.